This 194-nucleotide ribosomal RNA is filed under the name Lysobacter sp. enrichment culture isolate DGGE gel band B21. RNAcentral's name for it is "partial 16S ribosomal RNA". It matches the Rfam family "Bacterial small subunit ribosomal RNA", at positions 338 to 524 of the family's 1533-position model. Lineage: Bacteria; Pseudomonadati; Pseudomonadota; Gammaproteobacteria; Lysobacterales; Lysobacteraceae. The record is from RNAcentral.
CCUACGGGAGGCAGCAGUGGGGAAUAUUGGACAAUGGGCGCAAGCCUGAUCCAGCCAUGCCGCGUGUGUGAAGAAGGCCUUCGGGUUGUAAAGCACUUUUGUCCGGAAAGAAAAGCUUCGGGUUAAUACCCCGGGGUUCUGACGGUACCGGAAGAAUAAGCACCGGCUAACUUCGUGCCAGCAGCCGCGGUAAU